GCUGUAAUGUGUGCAGCUUUCAUCUGUGUCUGAUAGCAGUGUCUGUCUAUGCUUUGCAUUCAGAUCUUGCUAUCCCCAUAAACAUGCAGCCGAAGAGUAAGCUGGAAUCAUAAGGCAGUGUUAUUUUAUUUGAAGUAAGUUGAUUACCUAUGUGCUUUCAUGAAUAA
Molecule: small nucleolar RNA, 167 nt
Organism: Ursus americanus (American black bear)
Lineage: Eukaryota; Metazoa; Chordata; Mammalia; Carnivora; Ursidae
Source: Ensembl